CUGACAUGGUAGUUUUCGCUACCCGCGGUGUUCCCGCCCCAGCUCCAGCCCUGCAUUCAGCUCAUGCUUUUUGCAGAAGUGCUUAGCUAAAUUCCUCCUGGCGCUGGAUGGCUCAGCUGCUAAGAGGCCUAUUACAAUAAUACAGUAUUUCAGGCAGCGUGGUUCAUAACCACCUGAACCUCUAGAGCCAGGGAAUCGAGUGUGUUCUGGUCUCGGCCACACCAUCCACGUGCACCCACCCCCAUGGGCACAGCCAUAAUUGAAAAUGGGCCUCCAGUCUGGCUGAAAGCAUGGGUUGGAGUGGGACAGGAGGCUUGACUGCGGUGAUGAGAUCACUAAUAGGAAGUGCCGUCAGAGGCGAUAACUGACGAUAAGUGUGUUCCUGGCUGAUGCAGUCAAGCCCUCACCAGUGACUGGUGUUUAGGAUUAACUCGGUCUGGACUAUAACAACUGCUGUGUUCCAUCUAGGUCGGACAUGGAGAGCGGAGGCUGACUGCCAGCAGCCGUGGCCUCCCAUGAGUGGCAGUUUGGACAGCUCAUCCUGCCAUUUGGGUCCCAUGGAUUGAGCCCAGCUGGGCUAGUUUUGCAGAAGCCUCUUCACUGUCCAUCUUAGGAGCGUCCACUUCCUCAAGUUUUGAGAACUGAGUGCUGGAAUGCAGCCUGUGUUGGCAGCCGCAGUGAAGGAAGAGGCUGUCUCCAGAGGAGUCUCCAGCAGCAGUACCGCCACCAGCCGGGAUUUGGAAAGCAGCCUCUUUUAAGCAUUGUUAUGAAAACAGUCCAGCAUGUGUCUGCUGACCCUGUUCUGUCUGGUCAGGCACAUUUGGUGAUCACCCUACCCCACGGGAGCUUCCACACAUGUCAAUAAAAUGUUUGUGCACAAAGUUGUA
Molecule: long non-coding RNA, 887 nt
Organism: Peromyscus leucopus (white-footed mouse)
Lineage: Eukaryota; Metazoa; Chordata; Mammalia; Rodentia; Cricetidae
Exons: 4
Source: RefSeq, a predicted model, not a curated record